ACGGAAGGCAGCAGUGGGGAAUAUUGCACAAUGGGGGAAACCCUGAUGCAGCAACGCCGCGUGAAGGAAGACGGUCUUCGGAUUGUAAACUUCUGUUCUUAGUGAAGAUAAUGACGGUAGCUAAGGAGCAAGCCACGGCUAACUACGUGCCAGCAGCCGCGGUAAUACGUAGGUGGCAAGCGUUAUCCGGAUUUACUGGGUGUAAAGGGCGCGUAGGCGGGGAAGCAAGUCAGAUGUGAAAUCUAUGGGCUUAACUCAUAAACUGCAUUUGAAACUGUUUCUCUUGAGUGCUGGAGAGGUAGAUGGAAUUCCUAGUGUAGCGGUGAAAUGCGUAGAUAUUAGGAAGAACACCAGUGGCGAAGGCGAUCUACUGGACAGUAACUGACGCUGAGGCGCGAAAGCGUGGGGAGCAAACAGGAUUAGAUACCCUGGUA
This 434-nucleotide ribosomal RNA is filed under the name uncultured Oscillospiraceae bacterium. RNAcentral describes it as "bacterial SSU rRNA". It matches the Rfam family "Bacterial small subunit ribosomal RNA", at positions 341 to 792 of the family's 1533-position model. The record is from RNAcentral. Lineage: Bacteria; Bacillati; Bacillota; Clostridia; Eubacteriales; Oscillospiraceae.